AAGCUAUUCACCAUUGUUUCAACAUGAAGGUUUGUAAUAAAAAUUUGUUUCUAUCAGCAUUGCUUUGCAUUGCUGUUGCAGGAGUUUUGGGUCAAGCUCCUAGUAAUCCUCCUACGUCUACGCCGGCGCCACCCACACCACCGGCUUCUACUCCUCCUCCGACGACUCAAGCACCGCCUACACCAACCGCCACUCCGCCACCGGUUUCUACUCCUCCUCCCACUUCAUCACCGCCCCCAGUGACAGCUUCUCCACCCCCAGUUUCAACUCCUCCACCCAGUUCUCCUCCUCCUGCAACUCCACCACCUGCUUCUCCUCCUCCUGCAACUCCACCUCCAGCUUCUCCACCUCCUGCCACUCCUCCACCAGCUUCUCCACCUCCCGCCACUCCACCACCUGCAACCCCACCGCCAGCAACUCCUCCUCCUGCUACCCCACCACCAGCUCCAUUGGCUUCUCCUCCAGCCACAGUCCCAGCUAUCUCUCCAGUACAAACACCAUUGACAUCGCCACCAGCUCCGCCGACCGAGGCCCCAGCACCUACCCUCGGGG
This 552-nucleotide long non-coding RNA is filed under the name Gossypium barbadense (sea-island cotton). RNAcentral describes it as "long non-coding RNA (GBAR_LNC014573)". The record is from RNAcentral. Lineage: Eukaryota; Viridiplantae; Streptophyta; Magnoliopsida; Malvales; Malvaceae.